UACGGAGGGGGCUAGCGUUGUUCGGAAUUACUGGGCGUAAAGCGUACGUAGGCGGACCGUUAAGUCGGGGGUGAAAUCCCAGGGCUCAACCCUGGAACUGCCUUCGAUACUGGUGGUCUGGAGUCCGGGAGAGGUGAGUGGAACUCCUAGUGUAGAGGUGAAAUUCGUAGAUAUUAGGAAGAACACCAGUGGCGAAGGCGGCUCACUGGCCCGGUACUGACGCUGAGGUACGAAAGCGUGGGGAGCAAACAGG
Molecule: ribosomal RNA, 253 nt
Filed under: uncultured bacterium
Lineage: Bacteria
Description: partial 16S ribosomal RNA
Rfam family: Bacterial small subunit ribosomal RNA
Source: RNAcentral